UAAUAAGUGUUUUAUGGCACUUUUUAAAUCCAUAUCCACCUUGUGUGCAAUGUCAGUCGGUUCUUUUCGUCAAUGAAAAGGAUCGACCAAACAUCAACCUUAUUCUAAUUGAACUCUUUGUCUGAAAAAUAUUAUGAAUAAACUAAUUCAAAAUA
Molecule: unclassified non-coding RNA, 155 nt
Filed under: soil metagenome
Description: partial internal transcribed spacer 1
Source: RNAcentral